UACGGAGGGUGCGAGCGUUGUCCGGAAUCAUUGGGCGUAAAGGGCGCGUAGGUGGCGGGACAAGCGUGCGGUGAAAGCCUGGGGCUCAACCCCGGGUCGGCCGUGCGAACUGUUUUGCUUGAGCACUGUAGAGGCAGGCGGAAUUCCGGGUGUAGCGGUGGAAUGCGUAGAGAUCCGGAAGAACACCGGUGGCGAAGGCGGCCUGCUGGGCAGUAGCUGACACUGAGGCGCGACAGCGUGGGUAGCAAACAGG
This 253-nucleotide ribosomal RNA is filed under the name uncultured bacterium. RNAcentral describes it as "partial 16S ribosomal RNA". It matches the Rfam family "Bacterial small subunit ribosomal RNA", at positions 524 to 776 of the family's 1533-position model. The record is from RNAcentral.